RNAcentral lists this small nucleolar RNA (101 nucleotides) under Drepanopeziza brunnea f. sp. 'multigermtubi' MB_m1. Its description in RNAcentral is "Marssonina brunnea f. sp. 'multigermtubi' MB_m1 A. fumigatus snoRNA Afu_304". It matches the Rfam family "A. fumigatus snoRNA Afu_304". Lineage: Eukaryota; Fungi; Ascomycota; Leotiomycetes; Helotiales; Drepanopezizaceae. The record is from Rfam by way of RNAcentral.
UAUCCUGAUGACAAAAGGCCAUGAGGCCUGAUAAUCCCAGCUCGUCGAGUGCCUCACGUACAACGUAGAGAGCUACUGAGAUAAGAAACACGUUCUGAUCU